AUUGAACGCUGGCGGCAUGCCUUACACAUGCAAGUCGAACGGCAGCAUAGGAGCUUGCUCCUGAUGGCGAGUGGCGAACGGGUGAGUAAUAUAUCGGAACGUGCCCUAGAGUGGGGGAUAACUAGUCGAAAGACUAGCUAAUACCGCAUACGAUCUACGGAUGAAAGUGGGGGAUCGCGAGACCUCAUGCUCCUGGAGCGGCCGAUAUCUUAUUAGCUAGUUGGUGGGGUAAAAGCCCACCAAGGCGACGAUCAGUAGCUGGUCUGAGAGGACAACCGGCCACACUGGGACUGAGACACGGCCCAGACUCCUACGGGAGGAAGAAGUGGGGUAUUUUGGACAAUGGGGGGAACCCUGAUCCAGCAAUGCCGCGUGAGUGAAGAAGGCCGUCGGGUUGUAAAGCUCUUUUGUCAGGGAAGAAACGGUUCUGGAUAAUACCUGGGACUAAUGACGGUACCUGAAGAAUAAGCACCGGCUAACUACGUGCCAGCCGCCGCCGUAA
RNAcentral lists this ribosomal RNA (502 nucleotides) under uncultured bacterium. Its description in RNAcentral is "partial 16S ribosomal RNA". It matches the Rfam family "Bacterial small subunit ribosomal RNA", at positions 30 to 523 of the family's 1533-position model. The record is from RNAcentral.